UACGGAGGGUGCAAGCGUUGUUCGGAAUUACUGGGCGUAAAGCGCGCGUAGGCGGUUUGGUAAGUUGGGAGUGAAAUCCCGGGGCUUAACUCCGGAAUUGCUUUCAAGACUGCCAAGCUUGAGUAUGGUAGGGGAUAGUGGAAUUCCUAGUGUAGAGGUGAAAUUCGUAGAUAUUAGGAGGAACACCAGUGGCGAAAGCGACUGUCUGGGCCAUUACUGACGCUAAGGCGCGAAAGCGUGGGGAGCAAACAGG
Molecule: ribosomal RNA, 253 nt
Filed under: uncultured bacterium
Lineage: Bacteria
Description: partial 16S ribosomal RNA
Rfam family: Bacterial small subunit ribosomal RNA
Source: RNAcentral